CAAGCGGAUCUCUUAAAGCCGUUCUCAGUUCGGACUGUAGGCUGCAACUCGCCUACACGAAGCUGGAAUCGCUAGUAAUCGCGGAUCAGCACGCCGCGGUGAAUACGUUCCCGGGCCUUGUACACACCGCCCAUCACACCAUGAGAGUCUGUAACACCCAAAGCCGGUGGGAUAACCUUUAUAGGAGUCAGCCGUCUAAGGUAGGACAGAUGAUUAGGGUGAAGUCGUAACAAGGUAUC
Molecule: ribosomal RNA, 239 nt
Filed under: uncultured bacterium
Lineage: Bacteria
Description: partial 16S ribosomal RNA
Rfam family: Bacterial small subunit ribosomal RNA
Source: RNAcentral